GCCUUCGUGGUGUAGUGACCAGCACGCUCGACGCGUAACCGAGAGGUCCGUGGUUCGAUUCCCGGCGAAGGCG
Non-coding RNA from Stegodyphus mimosarum, 73 nucleotides. The record is from Rfam. NCBI's taxonomy places the organism in Eukaryota, Metazoa, Arthropoda, Arachnida, Araneae, Eresidae.